UCACCCUGUCUGCGCCCCUCAG
This 22-nucleotide microRNA is filed under the name Mus musculus (house mouse). Its description in RNAcentral is "mmu-miR-7023-3p". Lineage: Eukaryota; Metazoa; Chordata; Mammalia; Rodentia; Muridae. The record is from miRBase by way of RNAcentral.